Molecule: ribosomal RNA, 259 nt
Filed under: uncultured bacterium
Lineage: Bacteria
Description: partial 16S ribosomal RNA
Rfam family: Bacterial small subunit ribosomal RNA
Source: RNAcentral
CUUGCUUUCUUUUGUCUGGCGACCGGCGCACGGGUGGGUAACACGUAUCCAACCUGCCCUUUACUCGGGGAUAGCCUUUCGAAAGAAAGAUUAAUACCCGAUAGUAUAAUGAUUCCGCAUGGUUUCAUUAUUAAAGGAUCCGGUAAAGGAUGGGGAUGCGUUCCAUUAGGUUGUUGGUGAGGUAACGGCUCACCAAGCCUUCGAUGGAUAGGGGUUCUGAGAGGAAGGUCCCCCACAUUGGAACUGAGACACGGUCCAA